GACGAACGCUGGCGGCGUGCUUAACACAUGCAAGUCGAACGGAAAGGCCCUGCUUUUGUGGGGUGCUCGAGUGGCGAACGGGUGAGUAACACGUGAGUAACCUGCCCUUGACUUUGGGAUAACUUCAGGAAACUGGGGCUAAUACCGGAUAGGAGCUCCUGCUGCAUGGUGGGGGUUGGAAAGUUUCGGCGGUUGGGGAUGGACUCGCGGCUUAUCAGCUUGUUGGUGGGGUAGUGGCUUACCAAGGCUUUGACGGGUAGCCGGCCUGAGAGGGUAACCGGCCACAUUGGGACUGAGAUACGGCCCAGACUCCUACGGGAGGCAGCAGUGGGGAAUAUUGCACAAUGGGCGGAAGCCUGAUGCAGCAACGCCGCGUGCGGGAUGACGGCCGUCGGGUUGUAAACCGCUUUCGCCUGUGACGAAGCGUGAGUGACGGUAAUGGGUAAAGAAGCACCGGCUAACUACGUG
Molecule: ribosomal RNA, 468 nt
Filed under: uncultured bacterium
Lineage: Bacteria
Description: partial 16S ribosomal RNA
Rfam family: Bacterial small subunit ribosomal RNA
Source: RNAcentral